ACGAACCGAGCGAACGUUAUUCGGAAUCACUGGGCUUAAAGCGUGUGUAGGCGGCGGGCUAAGUACCUUGUGAAAUCCCACGGCUUAACUGUGGAACUGCUGGGUAUACUGGUUCGCUUGAGCGGUCUAGGGGCGAGCGGAACAAAUGGUGGAGCGGUGAAAUGCGUAGAUAUCAUUUGGAACGCCAACGGUGAAAACAGCUCGCUGGGGACCUGCUGACGCUGAGACACGAAAGCCAGGGGAGCGAACGGGA
This 253-nucleotide ribosomal RNA is filed under the name uncultured prokaryote. RNAcentral's name for it is "partial 16S ribosomal RNA". It matches the Rfam family "Bacterial small subunit ribosomal RNA", at positions 525 to 777 of the family's 1533-position model. The record is from RNAcentral.